CUGCAGUGAGGAAGUACACACUUCCCAGGGGACAUUGCCAGUGGCGAUACGUGGUGUCAAGUGACUCCAGGGAACCUUGCUUGCAGAGUCUGGAAUCUUCUAUGAAAAGAAAUGUCAAUAUACAAGUGAAGUCUGUUUCGUGUAUUCCAAAUGGCAUCUGUGGUGAGCAGAGAAAAGGCUCCAGACAAAGACAGCCAAAGGCCUUCCAGGGUCCGCUGAGCAUUUUGAAGUAUGAGCCAGAGAAACAGCCCUUUGGACUUUGAUUUGUGCUUUUCGGUACGCACGGUGGAGAGUGGGCGGGUGACAUUUCGUGGAUAUUUUUGUAUCCUUUUACAGUUCUCCGCUUUAAAUGAGGGAUAAAUCUGAAGAAGUUGCAUGCAACCCAAAUUGUGGGGUUUGAAAUAUCUUCAUGGAGCUGGCUGAAUAAAGGGGGCAAGCAAGUGUUGUUUCUUAUCGUCAGCCUCAGCCCAGCCUGUGAAUGUCUCAGUGGGUUUCACUAAAGCCAGGUCCAGGUAACUUAUUAUAGUCAAUACUUAUAUAGCCAUUUCAGUUUUCAGGCAAGGUAAAAUUGCUAAUUACUUCUUUCAGUUUUUCUCUGAGGGUGAGUGGCUUCCAUCACAAGUCCAAUGUUAUUUCUACAUAUGAUUAACUGAGCCAGCCGCUGACUCAAAAGAAAACUAAUUAUUACUUUCCUGUCCUGAUGCAGGGUAUUAGAACAUAUAAUUAGGUGAAUUCAAAACCAUCACAAAUUGCCUGAGAAACUGGAUUUCUGGCAUUGGUAAGAUUAGGAUGUUCAUUCUUUACCAGAAAAGUAUGUGGAAGUAUCACACAGAAAAUGUUUACAGUUUGUGAGUGCACAGGAAGAGCAACCAUAAUACUAACAAGAAACAGUUACCGUCAAUCAAAUAUGGCUACUUUCAGUGCUUCUAUGGCUAACAAACAUAGCAUUCACAUUUGCACAUGGUUGAAAACUUCAAAAGAUGAAUAAUGUUUGUGAUAUUUUAAAAAUUAUAUGGAAUUUAAUGUCCAUAAAGAAAGUUUUAAUAGUGUAGUUAUAUUCCUGAAUUCAUAUAACCUAUACUCUUGUAUGGUAAAAGCAGCAAUGUAUGGUUUUGAUAGAAACUGUAUGACUCAUAUUUAAAGUAUUUACUAUCUGGCUUUUUAUUAGAAAAAGAUUGCUGACAUCUUGUAUUUAACAUAUGAAGUGGUAUGUAUCCGAGCAAUAAAUAGAGUAUAGCAUUGAAAAACAAUGUCCAUAUUUGAUUUAAGUGAAAUGCCAAAAUAUCGCAAAGUUACUGAACACUGAAAUAAUGUAUACGUAAACAUAUAAGACAUAAUUAGUCAUAUCAAGAUGACAUAUAAGUGAUUUUUAAAAAGAAAUAUAUUUGUUUGUGUUAUUUAAAUUUUUUCAUGUAACAUAGUUUGAUCAUACUCUUUUCCUUCCCUCCCAUAUCUUCCCUCCCUCCAUACCCAUCCAAUCUUAUGUUCUUUCUCUCUAUCUAAUGACAACAACAAGCAAAUGAAUACACAAAUAAAAUAAUACAAAACAAAAAGUGCACAAAAAAACAUGGAGUCCGUUUUAGGCUAGCCAGCUACUCCUGAAGAGUGGAUGAUACACCCAGGGACAUUCCAGUGAAGAAAAUUGAUUUCCUUUUUCUGGCAAGUAUCAAUUGCAAUAGCUUCUUGGUUAAGGAUGGGACUUUGUAUAUAUUUCCCCUUCUCAAUGCUGGGGUUUUGCCUGGUUUGAAUCUGUGCAGGUAUUGUGUGUGCAGUCAUAGUCUCUGUGUUCAUAUGUGUGCCCCUCCUGUUGUGUCUGGGAGAUGGCGUUUCUUUGGAUCAUUCACCAUCACUGGGUGCUCAGCUUACCUCCAUUUCUACUGACUUCAGCCACACUGCUCUCUGGAGACUGUUCAUGGACCAGGUACUUAUGGUACUUAUUGGUCCAGCCUACAGUGACAUGGAGAAUACAGAGACCCACGACCUCAAUGACCCCUGGGCUACUCCUGAGCUCAAGUUUAGAGAGAAUGAACGCUGUUUGGACCAACGUCAGAAUUCAUCACAGGAAAGGCAAGCGUCUACAAGUUCAGCAGACCCUGACAACGGCCCACUGCUAGGAGACCCAAAUGUUUAAGGGCUAAGCUGUUCUAAUACUUCAUCUGCUUGCCUCCUCCUUGCCCUUCUUCCCCCUCCACCUCUUCUCUCUCGGUUUUGCUCCCUUAUUCCCCAUUUUUCUCGUCAUACUGAACUUUGAAUAGUAUUUGACUGUGCCUUAUUUAAAGAUUUUAUAUGCUUUUAUAUCCCAGCUAUAAAUUUUUCCUUAUUUUUUCACAAUAGGGAAGUAUUUCUUUCUUUUUUGUUCUUUUUUUUUUUUUCUUAUCACACUCUCCUUCCCUUUGCUUCUGGUUUUUUGAGACAAGCUUUCUUUGUGGAACCUUGGACCUUCUGGACCUUGCUCUGUAGACCAGGAGAUGUGCUUGUCUCUACCUCCUAAGUGCUGGGAUUAGAGGCAUGUCCUACCACCACCUGGCUUUCUUCUUUUUUUCCCUUUAAAAUAACAAUCUGUUUCUUCUUUUCCUUUUAUUAUUUUAUUAACCCUACUUCCUCUCUUUCCCUUACCUCUUCUGUAAUCUCACUCAUUUGCUGUUUUUCAUUAAAUCUGAAUAAUUUUUAACUUCAUGUAACAGUGUAUGUUAAUUUUGCCAGUUUCUGGUGUAUAAGUAUUGGCGAUGUGUUUGUGGAAUUUAUUUAAUUUUAAUGUGUUUCUCUAACUAGGUUGGCUUGGUGGUGUUAGGAGAGCAAUCUGUCUUCUUGUUUUGAGUGGUACUUUUGAGUGGGUUGAGUCCUCACGAGUAGGCUGCUCAUUGUGAAGACUUCCAAAUAAAACUGGAAGGGCGAUCCAAAUCAACAGAUGCACAAAUUGCAAUGGCAGCACCGCAAAAAAUACAAAAAGGCUAGGUUACUAUACGUCCUCCAAAUAAUCCUUUGACUACUGUGGUGGUUUGAAUAUGUUUGGCCCAGGGAGUGGCACUAUUAGGAGGUAUGGCCUAUUUGAAGUGGGU
Long non-coding RNA from Mus musculus (house mouse), 3059 nucleotides. RefSeq annotates it as predicted gene, 35317. The record is from RefSeq and is a predicted model, not a curated record. The transcript has 4 exons. Lineage: Eukaryota; Metazoa; Chordata; Mammalia; Rodentia; Muridae.